GGGAAGAGCAAGGCGUCCGCUAAGCCACCCCCUAUGACGCAGAUGAAUAAGCUCGACGCUGUCUUUUCCUGCCCAUUCUACAAUCAUGGGAGCAGCAUUGAAUGACGGAUUGAUAUGCACAACCUGAUUGGUGAGGCUACUUGUCAAAUCUGCCAGGAAAGCUUCAGCAUCACUGCAAAUGGUACAAAUACAUACAAUUGUAGAUUCUACAUAGUCACGCUGCUCCUUUAUUUUCCUGUUUUUAGUCCGUAA
This 252-nucleotide ribosomal RNA is filed under the name Triticum aestivum (bread wheat). Its description in RNAcentral is "partial small subunit ribosomal RNA". The record is from RNAcentral. Lineage: Eukaryota; Viridiplantae; Streptophyta; Magnoliopsida; Poales; Poaceae.